Molecule: ribosomal RNA, 465 nt
Filed under: uncultured bacterium
Lineage: Bacteria
Description: partial 16S ribosomal RNA
Rfam family: Bacterial small subunit ribosomal RNA
Source: RNAcentral
GACGAACGCUGGCGGCGUGCUUAACACAUGCAAGUCGAACGGAAAGGCCCUGCUUGCAGGGUACUCGAGUGGCGAACGGGUGAGUAACACGUGGGUGAUCUGCCCUGCACUUCGGGAUAAGCCUGGGAAACUGGGUCUAAUACCGGAUAGGAGCCAUUUUUAGUGUGAUGGUUGGAAAGUUUUUUCGGUGUAGGAUGAGCUCGCGGCCUAUCAGCUUGUUGGUGGGGUAAUGGCCUACCAAGGCGGCGACGGGUAGCCGGCCUGAGAGGGUGGACGGCCACAUUGGGACUGAGAUACGGCCCAGACUCCUACGGGAGGCAGCAGUGGGGAAUAUUGCACAAUGGGCGCAAGCCUGAUGCAGCGACGCCGCGUGGGGGAUGACGGCCUUCGGGUUGUAAACUUCUUUCGCUAGGGACGAAGCUUUUUGUGACGGUACCUAGAUAAGAAGCACCGGCUAACUACGUG